RNAcentral lists this long non-coding RNA (282 nucleotides) under Glycine max (soybean). RNAcentral describes it as "long non-coding RNA (GMAX_LNC002483)". The record is from RNAcentral. Lineage: Eukaryota; Viridiplantae; Streptophyta; Magnoliopsida; Fabales; Fabaceae.
AAAAAAGCACACACAUGACCUCUAUUUAUAGCCUAAGUGUCACACAAAAUUGUAGGGAAAAUCGAAUUUCAAUUCAAAUUUCACUUGAAUUUGAAAUUGAAUUUGUGGAGCCAAAUUUUGGAGCCAAAAUUUCACAAAUUGUGAUUAAUGAAUUUCAGUUAUGGUUCAGCCCACUAAUCGAAGAUCAAUUCCAAGAUUCUCCACUAAGUGUGCUUAGGUGUCAUGAGGCAUGUAAAGCAUGAAGGAUAUGUACAAAGUGUGACUAUAUGAUGUGGCAAUGGG